CAGAUCGGCUCGCCUGGAAUGCAUGAGCAGUGUUGUCUUUCGACAUCUGGCUUGACUUGGCGUGAUAGGUUAUUUCGCUGAGGACAAUGUCUUGUGCAUUGGCCGAUUCGUUAGAUGAGGGCUUCUAAUGGUUAUGGGCUCGACCCUUAUAACUUCAUACCUUUGACCUCAAAUCAGAUAGGACUACCCGCUGAACUUAA
This 200-nucleotide unclassified non-coding RNA is filed under the name soil metagenome. Its description in RNAcentral is "partial contains internal transcribed spacer 2 and large subunit ribosomal RNA". The record is from RNAcentral.